This 407-nucleotide ribosomal RNA is filed under the name uncultured bacterium. RNAcentral describes it as "bacterial SSU rRNA". It matches the Rfam family "Bacterial small subunit ribosomal RNA", at positions 29 to 415 of the family's 1533-position model. The record is from RNAcentral.
AAUCAACGCUGGCGGCGUGCCUAACACAUGCAAGUCGAACGCGAGAGGGGCUUCGGCCCCAAUUGAGUGGCGAACGGGUGAGUAACACGUGGGUGAUCUACCUUUGAGUGGGGAUAACGUUCCGAAAGGAACGCUAAUACCGCAUGACGUUCCGGGUUUGAAGACCUGGAAACCAAAGCCGGGGCCCUUAGGAAACUUAAGGCCUGGCGCUUGGAGAGGAGCCCNCGCCUGAUUAGCUAGUUGGUGGGGUAACGGCNCACCAAGGCGACGAUCAGUAGCCGGCCUGAGAGGGCGGACGGCCACACUGGGACUGAGACACGGCCCAGACUCCUACGGGAGGCAGCAGUGGGGAAUUGUUCGCAAUGGGCGCAAGCCUGACGACGCAACGCCGCGUGGAGGAUGAAGGU